This 6071-nucleotide long non-coding RNA is filed under the name Phaseolus vulgaris (common bean). RNAcentral's name for it is "long non-coding RNA (PVUL_LNC004330)". The record is from RNAcentral. Lineage: Eukaryota; Viridiplantae; Streptophyta; Magnoliopsida; Fabales; Fabaceae.
AUUCAUUCAAAUGGAGUAUUCUAGUGAAAAACAAAUACUUGAUGUAACUUUUUUGCAGGCGUGGCUACUUUGGAAGGAUGGAACACCCUUGGAACUGAUGGACCCCAUGUUAAGAGAAUCCUACAAUGAGAUUAAAAUCAUCAGAAGCAUCCAUAUUGGUCUGCUCUGUGUCCAAGAAGAUCCCGAAUACAGACCUACAAUGGCAACAAUAGUUCUUAUGCUAGCUAGUAACAGUGUUACUCUACCAACUCCUAAGCGGCCUGCAUUUUUCAUCCACAGUGGAACAGAUGCAACCAUGCCAAAAGGGCAGCAAUUUGAUCAGUCUAUGACAAAAUCAUUACUAAUGUCUAUCAACGAUGUUUCCAUUAGCGAAAUGGAUCCUAGAUAAGCUUCAUUGCUUGGAGAUUUUAGAAUGUAUCAUUAUUCACCUACUUAUUUGUCGUACGCAUGACUGUACUUCGAAAUCUUGGAACACUUUGAACUGUAUUCUAGUCGCUUAUUUUUCAGCUAGAAGUAAUAUAUGCAGGUAGGCUAUAUUGUUUUCUCCCAGAAAAAUGUGAAAUGUACAUAUUUGGUGACAGGAAUUUUUGAAAUGUAUGGGACAUAGUAAAGACUCGUCGAGUUGCUAUUUUGUUCCACAUUUACAAGCUUAAAUAACCUAUUAACUAAUAAGUGUCAAUGUGUAGUUUUUAUGAUUGAAAAAAUUUAACACUUUGGAACUUAAUUGUUGCAUAAUGUAAAAAAAAUACCCUAAUCUGAGAAUUAUUGAAUCUGCUUAUAUAUUUUGAACCAAGAAACAAAUGAAGAAAUUUAAUCUCAAUUUUUAUGUAAAUUGUGGAUGAAUAUGAAGCAUUGAAAGAAUGUAUGCAAGCUGGUAUUGAAAGAAAGAAAGCAAAAACUUAAUUGGAUCACAAGAAGAUUUAGCUCAAGCUAGAGGAUUUAGCUCAAGCUAAAUAUGUCCAGAGUUGAUUAAAGGUGCAGUACUAAUCUAGCCCAGGCUAGAAUUGCUAGCUCAAGCUAAAAAUGCACCGAAAGAUCUAGCUUAAGCUAAAUUGGCUCGUUUGAGCUAAAGUUCAUUAUAUAAAUUUUGAAACACAACUCAAAAGGAAGUGGUGGAAAAUGAUUGGAUCUUUAGAGAGAAGUUAGUGAGAGAAGAAGAAGGAGACCUCUGUUCUUAGGAGAAGAACGUGCUCAGAUCAGCCCCUUCUUAUGCAAUCCAGAUCAAGAAUGAAGAUUGGAGGAACUGUCAUGAGUGGCUAAGUUCUUUCUAACUUGGGAUUGAAUGUAAUUUACCUUGAUCAAAUGUAUUUUUGGUGAUAUAUAUAUAUAUAUAUAUAAUAUUAUCUUUUCUACUUAUUCUUGGUAUUUUCGUUUUAUGCUUAUUGCUUGAUUCUGUCUGAUCAAUAGAGUCUUAAUUUUGAUCCUUAAAACCUUUAAGGAUCUGAAAUAGACAAAAAUACUUGAUAACUUGUAAUGAUAGGAAUAGAUUCCAGGUUAUUGAUUGCAUCAUAAUUCUGCUUCUAAAGUUGGAUGAUUUGUUAAAUAUCUGAGGAAUCAGUGUUUGAGAAAUUAUGUUAUGAAUUUCAUCUUUGAGGAAUCAAGGUGAAUGACUUUAAAUUAAGCAUAAAAAAUAAGUAGUUUUGAGUAUUAUAAAUUGUAUUAUUCCAAAAUACAGAUGAUUGAGAUAGACGCAAUUCAAUCCCAAGUAUUUUUCUCUAUAUUUAAUAAGUUAGUUUUGUCUUUGGUUGAAUCAAACCCUAAAUCUCUGAGUUACUAAUGAAAUCUUUAAUUUGAUUAUGAACAUGUUCUCAAAAUUAUUUUCUAUAUUUAAUGAGUUAUAUAAUAGAACAUCUUAAUUAGAAUUGUUCCUUGUGGGUUCGACAUUCAUACUUUAAAAAGUAUUAUAUUACAGUUGAUUCAGUACACUUGCCGAGAAAAAUCAACAUUAACCAACUUAUCUUGUAUUUAAACAAUAUUAAUUUGCAUCCAAAAUAUGUGGCUGUGCAUAUUCAAUGAGUAACCUAUGUGCAAUAGUAAGGAUUUUGCAACUUUUAUUGACAGACAACUAAGGGAGAGUUAGACACUAUUGAUUUAUGUUUUUUUGUUCUUGAAUCUUUAAGGAUUUAAAAUUUAUGCGUAAAACUCAACCUAGAGAAACAAUCAUGCAGAAGUGGUUGAUUGGGAAGACUUGGUCUACUUGUCAUGUUUCAUCUUCUGAUGCUUAACAACAGUUUUCUGUUUAUCAACUUCUUGACUUGUGUAUGAACAAGUGUUCCUUUCAUCGCAGUCCCCACACAAACGCAUCCUCUCAGAGACUUUGGGUCUUCGCUCAUUUAUGUUAGACACCCAUUACUCAUAUUUUCCAUCAAACGUGUUGGACUUUUCUUCCUUGUCCCAUAUUCACACUGAAUCAUUCAAAUAAUAUCUUUGCUUGACUUGCUUCAUUGACUUGCCACCUGCUUCAUGUAUCACUAACAUCCAUAUUUCUAAUUUAUGGAUUAUAUGAAUUUCACUUUUACUUUUUUAAUACUUGUUUUCGCACGCUGCAUUGUUUUUUUAAGAAACAUGGUACAAAACAAAGUGACAAAAUACGUGCAAAAUGAUGUAAGUGAAAUAAAUGAGAAAUAGGACGAGAAAAGGAAAAUAGAGCUUUUGAAAGGGAGAACAAAUACUGAAGUUUUUUGAUAUAUUGAGUUAAUUCAUCAAAAUCAAAGCUAUACCAAUGUAAAGGAAGUAGAGGAUGGUAGUUCAUUCAAGAAAGACAAAAAAAGUAAAAGCAUUGAGGGAUAAACUGUGAAAGUAUAGUAAAUUUGAAAAACAGUUUCCAAUCAUGUUCUUGUACUAUACACAUGUUAGAUUAUCACAUCUACUAUAUAUAUCUUCUCAACAUGAGGCACAAGUAUCUCCCAAAAGUCAAGGAGACUCAACACAAACUGCAAAACGAGUGAUGAGAGGUGAGAGAGAAAUGGUUACAGACGUAUCCAUGGCUUCCCUCAAGCUUCUGCUGCUGUUGUUCAUUCUCAGCUUCCUCCACUUCAACACUUGCAAAGCACAGGAACUGAACUCCGACCCCGUCUACCUGUACCAUAACUGUUCAGGCGGCAACACCACCGCCAACAGUGCCUACCAACUAAACCUCGGCACCCUCCUCACUUCCCUAUCUUCCAACGCCUCCACAGAAUUCUCCAACAACACUGUCGGAACAUCCUCGUCCGACAGGGUGUACGGACUGUUCAUGUGCAGGGGAGACGUGCCCUCUACGCUUUGUCACCAGUGCGUGUUGAACGCAACGCGACGUCUCCGCUCGGAUUGCUCUCUGGCCAAACAGGCCGUCAUAUGGUACGACGAGUGCACGGUUCGCUACUCGAACAUCUCUUUCUUCUCCACGGUGGCCACUCGGCCGCGUGUCGGACUCCUCAACACCGGCAACAUAUCCAACCCAGAAGCCUUCAUGACCCUGCUUUUCUCAACCAUUAACACAACCGCGGAUGAGGCUGCCAACUUUCACAUGGGUGUGAAGAAAUACGCGACGAAUCAGGCCAACUUUUCUGGGUUUCAGACUCUGUACUGUUUGGCUCAGUGCACACCCGAUCUGUCCCCAGGAGACUGCAGAAAUUGUCUCAGUGGUGUGAUUGGAGACCUUCCAUGGUGCUGCCAGGGAAAGCAGGGAGGAAGGGUUCUCUAUCCUAGCUGCAAUGUUAGGUACGAACUCUACCCUUUCUACCGCGCCACAGCCACGCCUUCACCUUCACCUUCACCCUCACCGCCCCUACUUCCUCCUCCAACUUCCGGUAAUUCCCGAGGUAUAAUCUUCACACUUCAAUUGCAACACUCUCUCACUAUUAAUAUUGUUCUUCUCUGAUCAAGCAUAUUGUAGUAUCAUGGUUCGAGUUCAUGCUGAUAUUGAAAGGGGUCAAUUCUCGAUACUUAUAUUGAAGAGUAUUGAUUCUUACGUUAGCACAAAUUGAUACUGAGUAAUUAGUCUUUAUUAUUAGAAUUGGCCAAGAACAAUUUCAGAUACAGACAAGAGGAAAAGGAUUCGAGUAUAUGUAGAGGAAGACACGGAAAAAGAAGUAUCACACACUCAGAGUACACUUAUUCUUAGUAGUUCUAGGUUUAGAGUCGUUCAUAGUCUUGUCUGGAAGCACAUAAGUAACUGUAUUAAGUUUGUGUUGAAUUAUAUGUAAUUGCUUUCGUGGAAUUUGUUCUGAUGUUUUUUGGAUUGGGAUUGAUGCAGGAGGCGGUGGGAUCUCAGCUGGGACCAUUGUUGCGAUUGUGGUUCCAAUUUCUGUCGCCGUGCUUCUAUUUAUAGUGGGAAUUUGUUUCUUGAGUAGAAGAGCCAGGAAGAAGGCUUCUGCAAAGGAAGGAAAAAGUAAGGAUCCACGAAAAAGAUACUCAUUUUUUCCUCUCUUUUUUUUAAAUGAAUGAUUUCAUCUUACGCGUUUGUUUUGGGUUUCUAGAUGUAGAUGACAUCACCACUUUGGAAUCCUUGCAAUUCGGUUUCGGCACGAUUGAAGCCGCCACAAACAAUUUCUCAGCGGACAACAAGCUGGGGGAGGGUGGAUUUGGUGAGGUUUUCAAGGUAAGAAACUAGCCCACUUUUUUUGUUAGAUCGAUUCUCGGAUGUGUAAUUCAGUUAUAUUUGGAAAAAUUUAGGGCACUCUUCCGAGUGGACAAGUAAUAGCUGUGAAGAGACUCUCGAAAAGCUCUGGGCAAGGUGGAGAAGAAUUUAAGAAUGAAGUGGUGGUGGUUGCCAAGCUCCAACAUAGAAAUUUAGUGAGGCUUCUCGGGUUUUGCUUGCAAGGAGAAGAGAAGAUACUUGUCUAUGAAUAUGUUCCCAACAAAAGUCUCGACUACACUCUCUUUGGUAGGAUUUCUGAACUAUGUUAUGCUUUCUAUGCUAGCUUUUUUUUCUCUUCCAGUGUUUUCCUUUUUGGCAUCUUCACUAAUAGGCGACCACAAUAAAGGAAACUGUGCAUAAUAUAUGUCAAUGUGAAACUGCGACUUGAAUAUUUUGUCCAAUUUGUAGACCCUGAAAAGCAAAGUGAGUUGGAUUGGAGGAGACGUUACAAGAUUAUUCAAGGGACUGCUCGAGGCACUCAAUAUCUUCACGAAGAUUCUAGACUUAGAAUUAUACAUCGAGAUCUUAAAGCAAGUAAUAUAUUGUUAGAUGGGGAUAUGAAUCCAAAAAUCUCAGAUUUUGGCAUGGCAAGAAUAUUUGGAGUUGAUCAAACUCAAGGAAACACCGACAGAAUUGUAGGGACUUAGUAAGUACAGAUUUCUAUCUUCCUUCCUUGGAGCACCUGUAUUUGUGGAAGCACCUAAUUCUAUCAUAUCGAUCAAAAACAUUCAAAUAUCUUGGUAGUUUCAAACAAACAUACAAAUUUUAAAGCUAAUUUUCAGUAUUGGACCAGAUUUCUGUCUUUUGUUUCCUGUGCUGACGAUUGUGUUGGUUAUUCAAUCCAUGUUCUAUACAGUGGUUAUAUGGCUCCAGAAUAUGCAAUGCAUGGAGAGUUCUCUGUUAAGUCUGACGUGUACAGUUUUGGAGUCCUCCUUAUGGAGAUCAUAAGCGGCAAGAAGAAUAGUUCUUUCUAUCAAACAGAUGGUGCUGAGGAUCUACUGAGCUAUGUAAGUAUAGCAGAUAUUUAGCUUCCUUGGUCUAAUUCAUCCAAUGGAGUAUUCCAGUGAAAAGGGAAAAUAUGUGACAAAUACUUGAUGUAACUUUGCAGGCGUGGCUACUUUGGAAGGAUGGAACACCCUUGGAACUGAUGGACCCCAUAUUAAGAGAAUCCUACAAUCAGAAUGAAAUCAUCAGAAGCAUCCAUAUUGGUCUGCUCUGUGUCCAAGAAGAUCCCGAAGACAGACCUACAAUGGCAACAAUAGUUCUUAUGCUAGAUAGUAACACUGUCACUCUACCAACUCCUAAGCGACCUGCAUUUUUCAUCCACAGUGGAACAGAUGCAACCAUGCCAAAAGGGCAGCAAUUUGAUCAGUCUAUAACAAAAUCAUUACCAAUGUCUAUCAACGAUGUUUCCAUUAGCGAAAUGGAUCCUAGAUAAGCUUCAUUGCUU